UACAGAGGUCCCAAGCGUUGUUCGGAUUUACUGGGCGUAAAGGGUGCGUAGGCGGCGUGGAAAGUUCGGGGUGAAAUCUCCAGGCUCAACUUGGAAACUGCCCAGAAUACUUCCAUGCUAGAGGGUCGCAGAGGAGAUUGGAAUUCUCGGUGUAGCAGUGAAAUGCGUAGAUAUCGAGAGGAACAUCAGUGGCGAAAGCGAAUCUCUGGGCGGCAUCUGACGCUGAGGCACGAAAGCCAGGGGAGCAAACGGG
This 253-nucleotide ribosomal RNA is filed under the name uncultured bacterium. Its description in RNAcentral is "partial 16S ribosomal RNA". It matches the Rfam family "Bacterial small subunit ribosomal RNA", at positions 524 to 776 of the family's 1533-position model. The record is from RNAcentral.